CCAAAGCCGUCCUCCCCAUGAACCCCCUAGUCUCUAACAUUCACAGUCGCCGAGUCUACCCUCUCUCACCUGCCCUCCCUUCUCUCUCUAACCAUCUCUGAUAUCUUCCCCCCUCUACACCUCUCUCACCUGCCCUCCCUUCUCUCUCUAACCAUCUCUGAUUUCUUCCCCCCUCUACACCUCUCUCACCUGCCCUCCCUUCUCUCUCUAACCAUCUCUGAUUUCUUCCCCCCUCUGCACCUCUCUCCUCUCUCUCCUCUCUCCCCUCUCUCCCUACACCACCUCCACAGCCGCUAUGCCCAACCCAACUUUCC
RNAcentral lists this long non-coding RNA (314 nucleotides) under Amborella trichopoda. RNAcentral describes it as "long non-coding RNA (ATRI_LNC005439)". The record is from RNAcentral. Lineage: Eukaryota; Viridiplantae; Streptophyta; Magnoliopsida; Amborellales; Amborellaceae.